This 551-nucleotide ribosomal RNA is filed under the name Cladosporium cladosporioides. RNAcentral's name for it is "eukaryotic LSU rRNA". The stretch from base 187 to 340 matches the Rfam family "5.8S ribosomal RNA". The record is from RNAcentral. Lineage: Eukaryota; Fungi; Ascomycota; Dothideomycetes; Cladosporiales; Cladosporiaceae.
UCCGUAGGUGAACCUGCGGAGGGAUCAUUACAAGUGACCCCGGUCUAACCACCGGGAUGUUCAUAACCCUUUGUUGUCCGACUCUGUUGCCUCCGGGGCGACCCUGCCUUCGGGCGGGGGCUCCGGGUGGACACUUCAAACUCUUGCGUAACUUUGCAGUCUGAGUAAACUUAAUUAAUAAAUUAAAACUUUUAACAACGGAUCUCUUGGUUCUGGCAUCUAUGAAGAACGCAGCGAAAUGCGAUAAGUAAUGUGAAUUGCAGAAUUCAGUGAAUCAUCGAAUCUUUGAACGCACAUUGCGCCCCCUGGUAUUCCGGGGGGCAUGCCUGUUCGAGCGUCAUUUCACCACUCAAGCCUCGCUUGGUAUUGGGCAACGCGGUCCGCCGCGUGCCUCAAAUCGACCGGCUGGGUCUUCUGUCCCCUAAGCGUUGUGGUAACUAUUCGCUAAAGGGUGUUCGGGAGGCUACGCCGUAAAACAACCCCAUUUCUAAGGUUGACCUCGGAUCAGGUAGGGAUACCCGCUGAACUUAAGCAUAUCAAUAAGCGGAGGA